AGAGUUUGAUCCUGGCUCAGGAUGAACGCUGGCGGCGUGCUUAACACAUGCAAGUCGAACGAAGCACUUUAAUUGAUUUCUUCGGAAUGAAGUUUUUGUGACUGAGUGGCGGACGGGUGAGUAACGCGUGGGUAACCUGCCUCAUACAGGGGGAUAACAGUUGGAAACGACUGCUAAUACCGCAUAAGCGCACAGGAUUGCAUGAUCCAGUGUGAAAAACUCCGGUGGUAUGAGAUGGACCCGCGUCUGAUUAGCCAGUUGGCGGGGUAACGGCCCACCAAAGCGACGAUCAGUAGCCGACCUGAGAGGGUGACCGGCCACAUUGGGACUGAGACACGGCCCAAACUCCUACGGGAGGCAGCAGUGGGGAAUAUUGCACAAUGGGGGAAACCCUGAUGCAGCGACGCCGCGUGAGCGAAGAAGUAUUUCGGUAUGUAAAGCUCUAUCAGCAGGGGAGAAGAAUGACGGUACCUGACUAAGAAGCACCGGCUAAAUUACGUGCCAGCAGCCGCGGU
RNAcentral lists this ribosomal RNA (515 nucleotides) under uncultured bacterium. RNAcentral's name for it is "bacterial SSU rRNA". It matches the Rfam family "Bacterial small subunit ribosomal RNA", at positions 8 to 521 of the family's 1533-position model. The record is from RNAcentral.